GGGAAGAGAGGAAACAGCUCCUCUCCUGUUAAAGGAUGCCAAGUCUUCAGCUGAGAGCUGUUGAGGAGCACUGAUCCAUCCAUCCUUCCUACUCUGAGAGCCGUUGAGGAGCACUGAUCCAUCCAUCCGUCCUGCUCGUCCAGAUGAAUCUCACCACUGCGACUCCACAGCCUCGGCACAGACUUAUAGGUGGAGUAGACGAGGAGCUGCUCUGUGCCAUGAAGACGAAGGUGAAAGUGUUCUCCUGCCCCAGGCUGAGUGGAGUGCACUGCAUACAAAGAGGCUUCUGGAAACCAAACUACAGCGAAACAGUCAGAUAGCAUCCCACUAGUUGUGAUGCUAAUAUUUGCUGUGACGCAAACACCAACUGUACGUGUUGAAAAUGAAGGUAGACUGAUGUUCAUAUUCUACUAUGGACGGUGUGUGGUACAGACGGACAUCGACUGGAGCAGAACAGGCCCCGAGGACCAUUCAGCUCCUCGUGUGGUGUGUCAGAUGUGUCAUCAUGUGUGUGUCUGUGUGCAUCAAUACUGAAACCAUUAGUCUGUAUUUAUCCACCUACUGCAUCAUGUUAACUCAUUUCAACUGUGAAGAAGUUUUUUUUAAAUAUAUUUUUUAACCUUUAUUUAACUAGGCAAGUCAGUUAAGAACAAAUUAUUAUUUUCAAUGACGGCCUAGUAACAGUGGGUUAACUGCCUGUUCAGGGGCAGAACGACAGAUUUGUACCUUGUCAGCUCGGGAUUUGAACUUGCAACCUUCCAGUUACUAGUCCAACACCUGCCUCCCCAGUGUAGCCUAGGCUGUGUUUAGACAGGCAGCCAAUUCUUAUCUUUUAAUCAUUAUUUUGUCUUUUGACAAAUCAGAUCAGCUCUGAAAAAGAUCCUAUGUGAAAAAAUCUGAUGUUAUUGGUCAAAAGACCAAUUAGUGUAAAAAAUAUCAGAAUUUGUCUGCCUGUGUAAACACAGCCAAAGUAUUCACUUUUUCCUGGUAGAUCUGUGCUUACAUAAAAAAAAUAAAAAAAUUCAAUAGGGAUGUGUGCAUACAUUGUAAAGUUUUAAAAUAUUCAACUUUGAACUGUUUUCUUGUUGCUGCAUGUAGUUAGAAAUUCUAAUCAAGUAAAGUUGUUAAUUGUCUAAACUCUGAAAGUCAUUGGAUAAUAUGGUGCU
Molecule: long non-coding RNA, 1166 nt
Organism: Oncorhynchus tshawytscha (Chinook salmon)
Lineage: Eukaryota; Metazoa; Chordata; Actinopteri; Salmoniformes; Salmonidae
Source: Ensembl